UUAAGCGACUAAGCGUACACGGUGGAUGCCCUGGCAGUCAGAGGCGAUGAAGGACGUGCUAAUCUGCGAAAAGCGUCGGUAAGGUGAUAUGAACCGUUAUAACCGGCGAUGUCCGAAUGGGGAAACCCAGUGUGAUUCGUCACACUAUCGUUAACUGAAUACAUAGGUUAACGAGGCGAACCGGGGGAACUGAAACAUCUAAGUACCCCGAGGAAAAGAAAUCAACCGAGAUUCCCCCAGUAGCGGCGAGCGAACGGGGAGCAGCCCAGAGUCUGAAUCAGCUUGUGUGUUAGUGGAACGGUCUGGAAAGUCCGACGGUACAGGGUGAUAGUCCCGUACACCAAAAUGCACAGGCUGUGAACUCGAAGAGUAGGGCGGGACACGUGGUAUCCUGUCUGAAUAUGGGGGGACCAUCCUCCAAGGCUAAAUACUCCUGACUGACCGAUAGUGAACCAGUACCGUGAGGGAAAGGCGAAAAGAACCCCGGCGAGGGGAGUGAAAAAGAACCUGAAACCGUGUACGUACAAGCAGUGGGAGCACCUUCGGGUGUGACUGCGUACCUUUUGUAUAAUGGGUCAGCGACUUAUAUUCUGUAGCAAGGUUAACCGUAUAGGGGAGCCGCAGGGAAACCGAGUCUUAACUGGGCGUUAAGUUGCAGGGUAUAGACCCGAAACCCGGUGAUCUAGCCAUGGGCAGGUUGAAGGUUGGGUAACACUAACUGGAGGACCGAACCGACUAAUGUUGAAAAAUUAGCGGAUGACUUGUGGCUGGGGGUGAAAGGCCAAUCAAACCGGGAGAUAGCUGGUUCUCCCCGAAAGCUAUUUAGGUAGCGCCUCGUGAAUUCAUCUUCGGGGGUAGAGCACUGUUUCGGCUAGGGGGUCAUCCCGACUUACCAACCCGAUGCAAACUACGAAUACCGAAAAAUGUUAUCACGGGAGACACACGGCGGGUGCUAACGUCCGUCGUGAAGAGGGAAACAACCCAGACCGCCAGCUAAGGUCCCAAAGUCAUGGUUAAGUGGGAAACGAUGUGGGAAGGCACAGACAGCCAGGAUGUUGGCUUAGAAGCAGCCAUCAUUUAAAGAAAGCGUAAUAGCUCACUGGUCGAGUCGGCCUGCGCGGAAGAUGUAACGGGGCUAAACCAUGCACCGAAGCUGCGGCAGCGACACUAUGUGUUGUUGGGUAGGGGAGCGUUCUGUAAGCCUGCGAAGGUGUGCUGUGAGGCAUGCUGGAGGUAUCAGAAGUGCGAAUGCUGACAUAAGUAACGAUAAAGCGGGUGAAAAGCCCGCUCGCCGGAAGACCAAGGGUUCCUGUCCAACGUUAAUCGGGGCAGGGUGAGUCGACCCCUAAGGCGAGGCCGAAAGGCGUAGUCGAUGGGAAACAGGUUAAUAUUCCUGUACUUGGUGUUACUGCGAAGGGGGGACGGAGAAGGCUAUGUUAGCCGGGCGACGGUUGUCCCGGUUUAAGCAUGUAGGCUGAUUGUCCAGGCAAAUCCGGAUAAUCAAGGCUGAGGUGUGAUGACGAGGCACUACGGUGCUGAAGUAACAAAUGCCCUGCUUCCAGGAAAAGCCUCUAAGCAUCAGGUAACAUCAAAUCGUACCCCAAACCGACACAGGUGGUCAGGUAGAGAAUACCAAGGCGCUUGAGAGAACUCGGGUGAAGGAACUAGGCAAAAUGGUGCCGUAACUUCGGGAGAAGGCACGCUGGUGUGUAGGUGAAGCCCCUGCGGGUGGAGCUGAGACCAGUCGAAGAUACCAGCUGGCUGCAACUGUUUAUUAAAAACACAGCACUGUGCAAACACGAAAGUGGACGUAUACGGUGUGACGCCUGCCCGGUGCCGGAAGGUUAAUUGAUGGGGUUAUCCGUAAGGAGAAGCUCUUGAUCGAAGCCCCGGUAAACGGCGGCCGUAACUAUAACGGUCCUAAGGUAGCGAAAUUCCUUGUCGGGUAAGUUCCGACCUGCACGAAUGGCGUAAUGAUGGCCAGGCUGUCUCCACCCGAGACUCAGUGAAAUUGAACUCGCUGUGAAGAUGCAGUGUACCCGCGGCAAGACGGAAAGACCCCGUGAACCUUUACUAUAGCUUGACACUGAACAUUGAGCCUUGAUGUGUAGGAUAGGUGGGAGGCUUUGAAGCGUGGACGCCAGUCUGCGUGGAGCCAACCUUGAAAUACCACCCUUUAAUGUUUGAUGUUCUAACGUUGGCCCCUGACCGGGGUUGCGGACAGUGUCUGGUGGGUAGUUUGACUGGGGCGGUCUCCUCCCAAAGCGUAACGGAGGAGCACGAAGGUUAGCUAAUCCUGGUCGGACAUCAGGAGGUUAGUGCAAUGGCAUAAGCUAGCUUGACUGCGAGCGUGACGGCGCGAGCAGGUGCGAAAGCAGGUCAUAGUGAUCCGGUGGUUCUGAAUGGAAGGGCCAUCGCUCAACGGAUAAAAGGUACUCCGGGGAUAACAGGCUGAUACCGCCCAAGAGUUCAUAUCGACGGCGGUGUUUGGCACCUCGAUGUCGGCUCAUCACAUCCUGGGGCUGAAGUAGGUCCCAAGGGUAUGGCUGUUCGCCAUUUAAAGUGGUACGCGAGCUGGGUUUAGAACGUCGUGAGACAGUUCGGUCCCUAUCUGCCGUGGGCGCUGGAGAAUUGAGGGGGGCUGCUCCUAGUACGAGAGGACCGGAGUGGACGCAUCACUGGUGUUCGGGUUGUCAUGCCAAUGGCACUGCCCGGUAGCUAAAUGCGGAAGAGAUAAGUGCUGAAAGCAUCUAAGCACGAAACUUGCCCCGAGAUGAGUUCUCCCUGAGACUUUAAGUCUCCUGAAGGAACGUUAAAGACGAUGACGUUGAUAGGCCGGGUGUGUAAGCGCAGCGAUGCGUUGAGCUAACCGGUACUAAUGAACCGUGAGGCUUAACCUU
This 2900-nucleotide ribosomal RNA is filed under the name Klebsiella pneumoniae. RNAcentral's name for it is "bacterial LSU rRNA". It matches the Rfam family "Bacterial large subunit ribosomal RNA". Lineage: Bacteria; Pseudomonadati; Pseudomonadota; Gammaproteobacteria; Enterobacterales; Enterobacteriaceae. The record is from RNAcentral.